AGAGUUUGAUCCUGGCUCAGGAUGAACGCUAGCUACAGGCUUAACACAUGCAAGUCGAGGGGCAUCAGUUUGGUUGCUUGCAAACCAAAGCUGGCGACCGGCGCACGGGUGAGUAACACGUAUCCAACCUNCCUCAUACUCGGGGAUAGCCUUUCGAAAGAAAGAUUAAUAUCCGAUAGCAUAUAUUUCCCGCAUGGGUUUUAUAUUAAAGAAAUUCGGUAUGAGAUGGGGAUGCGUUCCAUUAGUUUGUUGGCGGGGUAACGGCCCACCAAGGCAACGAUCAGUAGGGGUUCUGAGAGGAAGGUCCCCCACAUUGGAACUGAGACACGGUCCAAACUCCUACGGGAGGCAGCA
RNAcentral lists this ribosomal RNA (354 nucleotides) under uncultured bacterium. RNAcentral's name for it is "bacterial SSU rRNA". It matches the Rfam family "Bacterial small subunit ribosomal RNA", at positions 8 to 353 of the family's 1533-position model. The record is from RNAcentral.